Oryzias melastigma (Indian medaka) is the source of this 498-nucleotide long non-coding RNA. RefSeq lists it as uncharacterized. The record is from RefSeq and is a predicted model, not a curated record. The transcript has 4 exons. Lineage: Eukaryota; Metazoa; Chordata; Actinopteri; Beloniformes; Adrianichthyidae.
GUUCGGUUCGGUUCUGCGGGAUUGAGUUCUGUGCAGAGUUCAGAAUUCCUUGCUGAAAAGUGACGGUCCAGGAGAAGAGAAGUGGACGUAAACAAAGAGGAAGAUCUCCAACAACGGCUUUGGACCUGAAACCAGGAUGUUCAGCUUCUGUGUUCUGAAGGUCCAGUGAUCCGGGACAGAGUCUGAGUCAGAACCGACCCGCAUGGAUGCUGAAGUUUUUCCGUCGGUGAAUCAUCGUCCAGACGGUCAGAGAUGGAGGUCAAAGCUCCUCUGAGGCGGACAGAGAAGAUCUGUGGAGACGACAGCAAAGAUCACAGAACAAUCGAUUCAUGGAAACUUCUGGAGAAGAUGGAAGCGACAAACACUCUUCAAAAGAGUCUUUAGGACUGAGACUAAAGGAGUUCGUCAGAGUGGAACCGGCUCAGUGGACCGGACCACUGAGAGUCGAUGGAACUGGAUCGGUGGACCGGACCACUGAGAGUCGAUGGAACCGGCUCA